RNAcentral lists this unclassified non-coding RNA (460 nucleotides) under Melitaea cinxia (Glanville fritillary). RNAcentral describes it as "misc RNA ENSMCXG00005001345.1". Lineage: Eukaryota; Metazoa; Arthropoda; Insecta; Lepidoptera; Nymphalidae. The record is from RNAcentral.
ACAUUACAAUAAAUGUUUAUCUUGUAUACAUUUAACUUCAUGCAGUUGGAAAUUCAUUUAAAGUACAUUGUUUUGAAAAGUAGUACUACUGAACAAUAUUCACUAUGUGUAAUAUCAACUAUCAAAACAAACACGCGUGACACAUGGAAGUUCACGUGCAUCACUAUGAUAAACACUUUGGCCGUAUGACGAACGAUCAUUCUGUCCAUGUUUAAAAAUGGAACGCAUCGCCAUACAUCUGUCAAAACAAUAGUGAAGUUAGUUAGUGAGUGAAGUGCGUGCGAGUGUUUGUUGUGAUGGCCCUCAGGUCUGUGAUGUCGUGUAAAAUACCAAUGGUUGUUAUAUUAGGAGCUACGGGAACGGGAAAGACUAAGUUAGGUGUGGAGUUAGCUCAAAAAUUUGGUUCAGAAAUAAUAAGUGCCGAUUCGAUGCAAACUCGGAGUGGGAAUCGAACCCACAA